Molecule: ribosomal RNA, 448 nt
Filed under: uncultured bacterium
Lineage: Bacteria
Description: bacterial SSU rRNA
Rfam family: Bacterial small subunit ribosomal RNA
Source: RNAcentral
AGCCAGACUCCUACGGGAGGCAGCAGUGGGGAAUAUUGGACAAUGGGGGGAACCCUGAUCCAGCGACGCCGCGUGAGUGAAGAAGUAUUUCGGUAUGUAAAGCUCUAUCAGCAGGGAAGAUAAUGACGGUACCUGAGUAAGAAGCCCCGGCUAACUACGUGCCAGCAGCCGCGGUAAUACGUAGGGGGCAAGCGUUAACCGGAUUUACUGGGUGUAAAGGGAGCGUAGACGGCAGCACAAGUCUGAAGUGAAAUGCCGGGGCUUAACCCCGGAACUGCGUUGGAAACUGUGCAGCUAGAGUGCAGGAGAGGUAAGUGGAAUUCCUAGUGUAGCGGUGAAAUGCGUAGAUAUUAGGAGGAACACCAGUGGCGAAGGCGGCUUACUGGACUGUAACUGACGUUGAGGCUCGAAAGCGUGGGGAGCAAGCAGGAUUAGAUACCCGGGUAAG